RNAcentral lists this small nucleolar RNA (140 nucleotides) under Ornithorhynchus anatinus (platypus). The record is from RNAcentral. Lineage: Eukaryota; Metazoa; Chordata; Mammalia; Monotremata; Ornithorhynchidae.
AUCCUCUAUCAGGACCGCACCUGGAGAGUUUCCAGUACUUUUCCAGUCUCGACUACGGGAGGGAGAAUCAAGCAGAGGCAUACCCAUUCCAUUCCUAGUUUGGGCAGUGGCUAGCUUGUGGAAGGCAAUCUGCUACAAGU